Molecule: long non-coding RNA, 857 nt
Organism: Orussus abietinus
Lineage: Eukaryota; Metazoa; Arthropoda; Insecta; Hymenoptera; Orussidae
Exons: 2
Source: RefSeq, a predicted model, not a curated record
GCCGACAUGAAACUCGCCGUUGUUCGUCGUCUCUUAACGGUUGCCAAGAAACACAUAAAAGACGGUUGGAGAAGAAAUUUAUACCGGGUGCCCGGACACAACAUGUACUCGUCCUAAUAAUUAGCCUAAUUUAUCUAGGAUCGUUUAUACACGCGUCGAGGGAACGAUCCUCAGAGGAAUGCGACGAGAUCUCGCAAUGAAUCGACAAUGAAUCCUGGACAACGGAGAGUGAAUUUGAAUACGACGCGUGUCGCAACUUGGAACAAGAUGGCGGCUUUCUGCGCGACGUCGACGGACUCGGAGUUUCAUCGUUCAUUUCAUCAUCAUGAGCAUCGAGAUCGAAGAAAUGGAAGCGGGACUCAUUGCGUCUCCAAUCUUCGGUUUGGAGGCGAGCUGAAAUAAGAAACCGUAAUGCUCGAGCAUUGUCGCGGAUGUACCUCAUUAUCUGGCGAGAUCCUCGUGAUACGACGUCGCGGAUGGUUUCUUCUGGGUUGCGCAAUACACCUUCGAGCUGUGCACUCGUACUCGUGUGUACCUCUAGCACGUCUUGCUUUACGUUGCCAAUUAAGAGGAGCGAACGUGUCGAUAUGCAAGGAUGACACCUGUUAUUCCGUAUCGAUUGCGGCAGCCUUGAUGAUUGUGCAAUUCGGUCCCAUUGUCAGGCAUACUCUCGAUUAAGAUUGCCGAGGGACUUUGUUGUCUUUGCUGGUCUAAAUAGUAUUUGCUCGUUGUUACGCGUUGGUAAACCCUCUUCGCGUACUGGCGACUUCUGCAAGAAAUGUAAAAAUGCCAGAUAACUCCAAUUUAAUCUUUUGUUAACAGUUUUCAUUUAAGAAAAUAAGACUCGAUGUGAACGG